CAAGUUCUGUCGCAGCUGCAGAGAUGCUUUCCGUGGGCACAGGGUCGUUCGCUCUCUAGAAUUCAUCAUCCUUUCCUACCGUUGACCGUGUAGCAUUGUUUCGCCCUUCGAAAGUGAGGUCCUGGAGGUCGGGCAGUGCCGCGUUGACCUGUGUGUUUUACGGUGCCUGGAACGGUCGACGCUGUUGAAUUGCGUUUGUUAUGGAUUAGGGACAAACUGACGGCACGGAUUUCAAAGACCUUCUUUAGCCUUUAGGGGAACCUGCAGUCGAAAAGCCCAGGCUGGGCGUCACAGAGGCUUUGGGUUGGAAUCUCGAAUCUGCUACUUUCAGUUAUUAAGAGGAAUAAACAAACAAACCAAUGAGAUUGAAAAACUCAAAGACAGCUCUGCCGGCAGUGAGUCUGAGAUGGGGGAACUGAGACGUGAAACAGAAAUCGCCACUUGGCAAAACUGUCCAGGAACUUGCAAAAUAGAUAAACUGGACUCAGCCACAGCACGCGGGAGAAACUAAGCUCAGACUCUCACAGCCAGCUGUGCAGACCCGAGUGUUUUAACAGGACGUCAGGCGAACUGAUCCAACGCCUCAUGUUUCUACUGGUAGGUGGAUGUUGAACAGAACUACAGAAAGCUCUUUGGGAUAAUCAAGUCUCUCCCCUCAUUUCCAGUUUCUAAGGAUUUAUGGAAGAGAUGCCGAUACCGUUGGUCUGAGCUGGGGCCUCUGCAUCAGGACAUUUUAAGGAAAUGGUUUCUGAGGAGACAGUGUGGCCGGGGUUUUCACGAUGACGAAGGGCCUGUGAAUCCGGGUUGGAGCUCCCUGACCCUCGCCUGCCCGCCUCCCAUCUGGGUCUGCACUUGGCCCUGUUGCUUCCUUUCGCCCGGAAGCAAUAUGCCCCCUCUAGCCAGCGUUUAUGCACUUUGUGG
Molecule: long non-coding RNA, 921 nt
Filed under: Equus caballus (horse)
Lineage: Eukaryota; Metazoa; Chordata; Mammalia; Perissodactyla; Equidae
Description: lncRNA (ENSECAG00000048308.1)
Source: RNAcentral